CCUACGGGUGGCAGCAGUGAGGAAUAUUGGUCAAUGGACGAGAGUCUGAACCAGCCAAGUAGCGUGAAGGAUGACUGCCCUAUGGGUUGUAAACUUCUUUUAUAUGGGAAUAAAAUGUUCCACGUGUGGGAUUUUGUAUGUACCAUAUGAAUAAGAAUCGGCUAACUCCGUGCCAGCAGCCGCGGUAAUACGGAGGAUCCGAGCGUUAUCCGGAUUUAUUGGGUUUAAAGGGAGCGUAGGUGGAUUGUUAAGUCAGUUGUGAAAGUUUGCGGCUCAACCGUAAAAUUGCAGUUGAAACUGGCAGUCUUGAGGACAGUAGAGGUGGGCGGAAUUCGUGGUGUAGCGGUGAAAUGCGUAGAUAUCACGAAGAACUCCGAUUGCGAAGGCAGUUCACUGGACUGCAACUGACACUGAGGCUCGAAAGUGUGGGUAUCAAACAGGAUUAGAUACCCGGGUAGUC
RNAcentral lists this ribosomal RNA (460 nucleotides) under uncultured bacterium. RNAcentral's name for it is "partial 16S ribosomal RNA". It matches the Rfam family "Bacterial small subunit ribosomal RNA", at positions 338 to 795 of the family's 1533-position model. The record is from RNAcentral.